GGACACCUGAGAUGCCACUCAUCUGCAAUUUUGAACCUACAAUUACUUUAAACGGGAAUCUUAUAUUGCUGUGUAGAUGUCAGGCCUUCCGUGCGGGUCCUUCGAUCCGUACAGGCAGAGGAAGACUGAAGCAUAUGCUGCGGACACCCACCUGGCAUGCGUGCUAGGAGUCAAAAUGCAGGUUCGGCGUUUCAGGUCUUUU
RNAcentral lists this non-coding RNA (202 nucleotides) under Eubacteriales bacterium. Its description in RNAcentral is "6S RNA". It matches the Rfam family "6S / SsrS RNA". From Rfam's summary of the family: E. coli 6S RNA was the first non coding RNA to be sequenced, but its function was unknown until recently. The record is from RNAcentral. Lineage: Bacteria; Bacillati; Bacillota; Clostridia; Eubacteriales.